RNAcentral lists this ribosomal RNA (333 nucleotides) under uncultured bacterium. Its description in RNAcentral is "partial 16S ribosomal RNA". It matches the Rfam family "Bacterial small subunit ribosomal RNA", at positions 338 to 682 of the family's 1533-position model. The record is from RNAcentral.
CCUACGGGAGGCAGCAGUCGAGAAUCAUUCACAAUGGGGGAAACCCUGAUGGGGCGACGCCGCGUGGGGGAAUGAAGGUCUGCGGAUUGUAAACCCCUGUCAUGUGGGAGCAAAUUAAAAAGAUAGUACCACAAGAGGAAGAGACGGCUAACUCUGUGCCAGCAGCCGCGGUAAUACAGAGGUCUCAAGCGUUGAUCGGAACCACUGGGCGUAAAGCGUGCGGAGGCGGUUUCGUAAGUCGGGUGUGAAAGGCGCGGGCUCAACCCGCGGACGGCCCAUGAUACUGCGAGACUAGAGUAAUGGAGGGGGAACCGGAAUUCUCGGUGUAGCCGU